Molecule: ribosomal RNA, 510 nt
Filed under: uncultured bacterium
Lineage: Bacteria
Description: partial 16S ribosomal RNA
Rfam family: Bacterial small subunit ribosomal RNA
Source: RNAcentral
GACGAACGCUGGCGGCGUGCUUAACACAUGCAAGUCGAACGAAGAGCGAUGGAAGCUUGCUUCUAUCAAUCUUAGUGGCGAACGGGUGAGUAACGCGUAAUCAACCUGCCCUUCAGAGGGGGACAACAGUUGGAAACGACUGCUAAUACCGCAUACGAUCUAAUCUCGGCAUCGAGGAUAGAUGGAAGGUGGCCUCUACAUGUAAGCUAUCACUGAAGGAGGGGAUUGCGUCUGAUUAGCUAGUUGGAGGGGUAACGGCCCACCAAGGCGAUGAUCAGUAGCCGGUCUGAGAGGAUGAACGGCCACAUUGGGACUGAGACACGGCCCAGACUCCUACGGGAGGCAGCAGUGGGGAAUCUUCCGCAAUGGACGAAAGUCUGACGGAGCAACGCCGCGUGAGUGAUGACGGCCUUCGGGUUGUAAAGCUCUGUUAAUCGGGACGAAAGGCCUUCUUGCGAAUAGUGAGAAGGAUUGACGGUACCGGAAUAGAAAGCCACGGCUAACUACGUG